GAUGAACGCUAGCGGCAGGCCUAACACAUGCAAGUCGAGGGGCAUCGCGGUGCAGCAAUGCACUGGCGGCGACCGGCGUACGGGUGCGUAACGCGUAUGCAACCUGCCCCGCACCGGGGGAUAGCCCGCCGAAAGGCGGAUUAAUACCCCAUGGCCCCGGGGGCCCGCAUGGGCAUCCGGGUAAAGCCUUGGCGGUGCGGGAUGGGCAUGCGUGCCAUUAGCUGGCUGGUGGGGUAACGGCCCACCAGGGCAACGAUGGCUAGGGGGUCUGAGAGGAUGGUCCCCCACACUGGUACUGAGACACGGACCAGACUCCUACGGGAGGCAGCAGUGAGGAAUAUUGGUCAAUGGGCGGAAGCCUGAACCAGCCAUGCCGCGUGCGGGAUGAAGGCCCUACGGGUUGUAAACCGCUUUUCCCCGGGAAGAAUAAGCCCCCCGCGGGGGGUGAUGCCGGUACCGGGGGAAUAAGGAUCGGCUAACUCCGUGCCAGCAGCCGCGGUAAAAGUCACGCCG
Molecule: ribosomal RNA, 513 nt
Filed under: uncultured bacterium
Lineage: Bacteria
Description: bacterial SSU rRNA
Rfam family: Bacterial small subunit ribosomal RNA
Source: RNAcentral